RNAcentral lists this ribosomal RNA (460 nucleotides) under uncultured bacterium. Its description in RNAcentral is "partial 16S ribosomal RNA". It matches the Rfam family "Bacterial small subunit ribosomal RNA", at positions 338 to 795 of the family's 1533-position model. The record is from RNAcentral.
CCUACGGGUGGCUGCAGUGAGGAAUAUUGGUCAAUGGACGAGAGUCUGAACCAGCCAAGUAGCGUGAAGGAUGACUGCCCUAUGGGUUGUAAACUUCUUUUAUAUGGGAAUAAAACGUUCCACGUGUGGGAUUUUGUAUGUACCAUAUGAAUAAGGAUCGGCUAACUCCGUGCCAGCAGCCGCGGUAAUACGGAGGAUCCGAGCGUUAUCCGGAUUUAUUGGGUUUAAAGGGAGCGUAGGUGGAUUGUUAAGUCAGUUGUGAAAGUUUGCGGCUCAACCGUAAAAUUGCAGUUGAAACUGGCAGUCUUGAGUACAGUAGAGGUGGGCAGAAUUCGUGGUGUAGCGGUGAAAUGCUUAGAGAUCACGAAGAACUCCGAUUGCGAAGGCAGUUCACUGGACUGCAACUGACACUGAGGCUCGAAAGUGUGGGUAUCAAACAGGAUUAGAUACCCCUGUAGUC